RNAcentral lists this ribosomal RNA (741 nucleotides) under Triticum aestivum (bread wheat). RNAcentral describes it as "partial small subunit ribosomal RNA". Lineage: Eukaryota; Viridiplantae; Streptophyta; Magnoliopsida; Poales; Poaceae. The record is from RNAcentral.
AUGAGUUGCAUGAGCUGGAACUGCCGCGGGCUUGGGAACCCGGAGGCAGUUCGAGAGCUUCGCAACGUUGUGAAGCAAGAAUGGCCAAGUCUCCUUUUUCUGAUGGAGACAAAGAUUUCAACAAAGAGAGUGGAAAGCUUGCAGAAUCUGCUAGGUUUUGCGGGGUGUUUUGCAGUAAACAGUCAAGGUUUGAGUGGGGGCAUCGGUAUGUUCUGGGCAGCGGAUGUGGAUGUGGAACUGAAAAACUACAGUGCCGCGCAUAUUGAUGUCAAGGUCAGUAAGAAAGCUCGAAACUUGAUUGAGUGGAGAGUGACAGGGUUUUAUGGAGCUCCACGGGCGGAAGAUAGACGCCAUAGUUGGAGGUUCCUUCGUCAGUUAUCUGAAAUCCAACAUGAAGCUUGGUUGUGCGUUGGGGAUUUCAAUGAAACUUUGUUUGCUUCUGAACACUUUUCUCGUGCCGAUCGGCCGGAAUGGCAAAUGAGGGCGUUCAGAGAAGCUCUUGAUGAUUGCUCACUCCUGGAUCUUGGUUGGAAAGGAGUGGAGUACACAUGGGAUAAUGGGCAGAGUGGGGAACCCAAUGUGAAAGCCAGACUCGACAGAGGUUUGGGAAACUUGCAGCUAACCCAGAUUUUCCCACACACUUCGGUGCGUCACAUUAGUACUACAGAGUCGGACCAUUGCUUUGUUCUGGUUGACUUACGUGAUAAUAGGGCUGCACAUCGACAAGGAGUAACACGAUAG